GUCCUCUUGUUUAUAUAUGAGGUCAGACCUGCCCGGUGAAUUUUAUUUUAACGGCCGCGGUAUUUUGACCGUGCAAAGGUAGCAUAAUCAUUAGUCUUUUAAUAGGAGGCUGGAAUGAAGGGUUUGACGAGGUGUUGGCUGUCUCAUUUAAUUUGAAAUUAAAAUUUAACUUUUCAGUUAAAAGGCUGAAAUUAUAUUGGAAGACGAGAAGACCCUAUAGAGCUUUAUAGUUACAGUUUUAAUUAAUUAUUGUUUAAUCAUUAUUUUUUAUAAUUAUACCUAUUUUGUUGGGGUGACAAAAAUAUAAAAGUAACUUUUUUAUUUAGUGUUCAUUGAUUUAUGAACUUUAGAUCCAAUUUUAUUGAUUGUUAGAAUAAGUUACCUUAGGGAUAACAGCGUAAUCUUCCUUCAGAGUUCAUAUUUACAGGAAGGAUUGCGACCUCGAUGUUGGAUUAAGAUAAUAAUUAGGUGUAGCCGCUUAAUUUAUAGGUCUGUUCGACCUUUAAACUCUU
This 512-nucleotide ribosomal RNA is filed under the name Davidius nanus. RNAcentral describes it as "partial 16S rRNA". It matches the Rfam family "Bacterial large subunit ribosomal RNA", at positions 1831 to 2597 of the family's 2925-position model. Lineage: Eukaryota; Metazoa; Arthropoda; Insecta; Odonata; Gomphidae. The record is from RNAcentral.